UGAUGCUGAGCUUGCAGAAUGUCA
This 24-nucleotide non-coding RNA is filed under the name Mus musculus (house mouse). Lineage: Eukaryota; Metazoa; Chordata; Mammalia; Rodentia; Muridae. The record is from RNAcentral.